This 545-nucleotide unclassified non-coding RNA is filed under the name Cunninghamella sp. 1 ERP-2018. Its description in RNAcentral is "sequence contains ITS1, 5.8S rRNA gene, ITS2". The stretch from base 235 to 385 matches the Rfam family "5.8S ribosomal RNA". Lineage: Eukaryota; Fungi; Mucoromycota; Mucoromycetes; Mucorales; Cunninghamellaceae. The record is from RNAcentral.
UCAUUAACUAUUGUGGGAAAAGACGUAAAACAUCUUUUGACCAUUAAAAUCAUCCAUAAUGUGGGUCAAACCACAUGCGCAAUGUAUUAUAAGGUGUUAUUUAGUUAGCAUCUUUUUAUUUGUAAUAUGGCCUUAAAAAAGCCACAUUACUAAUUUUUUUAUACUAAAUUAACUGAAAAACGAUUGACCAUAAUUUUAUGGUUGUUUAAACAAUAUAUUAACUUAUAUAAAAACAACUUUCAGCAAUGGAUCUCUCGGCUUUCGUAUCGAUGAAGAACGCAGCAAAUCGCGAUAUUUAAUGUGAUCUGCCUAUAGUGAAUCAUCAAAUCUUUGAACGCAUCUUGCACCCUAUGGUAUUCCGUAGGGUACAUCUGUUUCACUACCAUUCAAACAUCUCCCUCACUCCUUUUUUUUCAAAGAUAGACCGAGAUCUAACACAGACUAUAAAUGAUUGUGGGAGAGCAGUUUACCGACUCACCAUACUAAGGGACAGUUCGCCCCUUUUUUUUUCCCCCGCGCAGGUGUUUCCGCGGUAAAACACAGGG